Molecule: ribosomal RNA, 487 nt
Filed under: uncultured bacterium
Lineage: Bacteria
Description: bacterial SSU rRNA
Rfam family: Bacterial small subunit ribosomal RNA
Source: RNAcentral
AGGACGAACGCUGGCGGCGUGCCUAACACAUGCAAGUCGAACGGAGUAUAAAAGGAAGCUUGCGAAUUUUAUACUUAGUGGCGGACGGGUGAGUAACGCGUGGAUAACCUGCCUGAUAGCCUGGGAUAACAGCUGGAAACGGCUGCUAAUACCGGAUACGCUUGCGGAGUCGCAUGGCUCUGCAAGGAAAGAUUUAUUACUAUCAGAUGGAUCCGCGUCCCAUUAGCUAGUUGGUGGUGUAGAGGACCCCCCAAGGCGACGAUGGGUAGCCGGCCUGAGAGGGCGAACGGCCACACUGGGACUGAGACACGGCCCAGACUCCUACGGGAGGCAGCAGUGGGGAAUCUUCCGCAAUGGGCGAAAGCCCUGACGGAGCAACGCCGCGUGAGGGAAGAAGGCCUUCGGGUUGUAAACCUCUGAUUUCAGGGAAGAAAGAAAUGACGGUACCUGAAGAGUAAGCUCCGGCUAACUACGUGCCAGCAGCUGC